CGGAGGAUCCAAGCGUUAUCCGGAUUCAUUGGGUUUAAAGGGUGCGUAGGCGGAAUGAUAAGUCAGUGGUGAAAUCUCGGAGCUUAACUCCGAAACUGCCAUUGAUACUGUCAAUCUUGAGUACAUUUGAUGAGGGCGGAAUGUGUCACGUAGCGGUGAAAUGCUUAGAUAUGACACAGAACACCGAUUGCGAAGGCAGCUCUCAAAACUGUAACUGACGCUGAGGCACGAAAGCGUGGGUAUCAAACAGGAUUAGAUACCCUGGUAGUCCACGCUGUAAACUAUGAUUACUCGAUGUUUGCGAUAUACUGUAAGCGUCUAAGCGAAAGCGAUAAGUAAUCCACCUGGGGAGUACGCUCGCAAGAGUG
Molecule: ribosomal RNA, 368 nt
Filed under: uncultured organism
Description: bacterial SSU rRNA
Rfam family: Bacterial small subunit ribosomal RNA
Source: RNAcentral